GCUGGGUGUGGUGGGGCACACCUGUAGUCCCAGCUACUCGGGAGGCUGAGGUGGGAGGAUCACUUGAGCCCAGGAGUUUGAGUCCAGCCUGGGCAACAUAAUGAGAUCCCCAUCUCAU
This 118-nucleotide non-coding RNA is filed under the name Otolemur garnettii (small-eared galago). The record is from Rfam by way of RNAcentral. Lineage: Eukaryota; Metazoa; Chordata; Mammalia; Primates; Galagidae.